AGUGAACGCUGGCGGCAGGCCUAACACAUGCAAGUCGAGCGGCAGCGCGUCCGACCACCCUCGGGUGGUCGGAUGGCGGCGAGCGGCGGACGGGUGAGGAAUGCAUCGGAAUCUGCCUCGUUGUGGGGGAUAACGUAGGGAAACUUACGCUAAUACCGCAUACGACCUACGGGUGAAAGUGGGGGACCUUCGGGCCUCACGCGAUGAGAAUGAGCCGAUGCCGGAUUAGCUAGUUUGGCGGGGUAAAGGCCCACCAAGGCGACGAUCCGUAGCUGGUCUGAGAGGAUGAUCAGCCACACUGGGACUGAGACACGGCCCAGACUCCUACGGGAGGCAGCAGUGGGGAAUAUUGGGACAAUGGGCGCAAGCCUGAUCCAGCAAUGCCGCGU
This 389-nucleotide ribosomal RNA is filed under the name uncultured bacterium. RNAcentral describes it as "bacterial SSU rRNA". It matches the Rfam family "Bacterial small subunit ribosomal RNA", at positions 30 to 402 of the family's 1533-position model. The record is from RNAcentral.